RNAcentral lists this ribosomal RNA (274 nucleotides) under uncultured bacterium. Its description in RNAcentral is "partial 16S ribosomal RNA". It matches the Rfam family "Bacterial small subunit ribosomal RNA", at positions 523 to 796 of the family's 1533-position model. The record is from RNAcentral.
AUACGGAGGGUGCGAGCGUUGUUCGGAAUUACUGGGCGUAAAGGGCGCGCAGGCGGCUUGAUAAGUCAGAUGUGAAAGCCCACGGCUCGACCGUGGAAGUGCAUCUGAAACUGUCUGGCUUGAGUACUGGAGAGGAAAGUGGAAUUCCUGGUGUAGAGGUGAAAUUCGUAGAUAUCAGGAGGAACACCGGUGGCGAAGGCGACUUUCUGGACAGAUACUGACGCUGAGGCGCGAAAGCGUGGAGAGCAAACAGGAUUAGAUACCCUGGUAGUCC